UCCCUUUUCUCUUUCCUCUUCCACGAUUAACCCUAGCGCCGCCUAUGCUCGUCUCUCGCUCUCAUUGCCAAAAAUGGCAAACAAUGCAGAGGUCUUAGACCUCAACAGCUUUUUCAUAUUCAAAUGCAUGCAACAAUCAAUGGUUCGUAAAUUUGUCACUCAAAAAUCGUUUCAAACACGUUUGAGGGUGGAAGCACAAGGAGCUUCUUUGAAUCCAUUCUUGACAAAGGCUGCAUCGAAAAAAGCCUCCCUAUUGGGCCUAAGGACAAUCCUUUCAAAAUCUACCGAAUAUAAGGAAGCUAAUAUAUAUAUGUUUGUGAAGGCCCAACCAUGGUUGAAAAUGGUUAAGGGGCUUGGUACACCCCAAGCUUUACUUGCUUUAUUUUGCGAAGUGAUAUGUUUAGUUUUCACAAUUUGUAUUUCUAAAACUCACAACAUUAUUGGAAAUCAAAUGGUUGAAACUA
Long non-coding RNA from Lycium ferocissimum, 464 nucleotides. RefSeq lists it as uncharacterized. The record is from RefSeq and is a predicted model, not a curated record. The transcript is spliced from 3 exons. NCBI's taxonomy places the organism in Eukaryota, Viridiplantae, Streptophyta, Magnoliopsida, Solanales, Solanaceae.